CAUUAACCCUUCCACAUUACUGAAUGAUUCUAUAAUAAUAUAGAAAACAUAAUGCUAGAACUAGUAACAAGAAUUUUGAUUCUCCAAAAAUGUAAGUAUCCACCAAACACCCUGGUAAUUAACGAAUGUGAGCCCACUGCAACAACCACCAAGAAAACUCUGCAUAACCCUUCGUCAACCUAACACUAGAACAUUCCUGGAAAGAUUUAAAGGGAAAGAAGGAACUCGGCAAAUUUCGACCCCGCCUGUUUACCAAAAACAUCGCCUCUUGAUUAACAAUAAGAGGUCCAGCCUGCCCAGUGACAAUUCAACGGCCACGGUACCCUAACCGUGCAAAGGUAGCAUAAUCACUUGUUCUUUAAAUAAGGACUAGUAUCAACGGCAUCACGAGGGUCACACUGUCUCCUUCCCCUAAUCAGUGAAACUGAUCUCCCCGUGAAGAAGCGGGAAUAAACCUAUAAGACGAGAAGACCCCAUGGAGCUUUAAACUUUCAGCAACUAAACCACACACCCCCUUAUAUUAUAAAAUUAUGCUUAACAGUCUUAGAUUGGGGCGAUCGCGGAGUAAAAAUCAACCUCCAUGACGAAAAGAACUAAAUCUUUAUCCAAGAUCCACUACUCUAAGAAUUAGAACACUAACGCUCAUGACCCGAUAAACGAUCAACGAACCAAGUUACCCUGGGGAUAACAGCGCAAUCUACUUCAAGAGCUCAUAUCGACAAGUAGGUUUACGACCUCGAUGUUGGAUCAGGGCAUCCUAGUGGUGCAGUCGCUACUAACGGUUCGUUUGUUCACGAUA
RNAcentral lists this ribosomal RNA (799 nucleotides) under Philautus larutensis. Its description in RNAcentral is "partial small subunit ribosomal RNA". It matches the Rfam family "Bacterial large subunit ribosomal RNA", at positions 1214 to 2589 of the family's 2925-position model. Lineage: Eukaryota; Metazoa; Chordata; Amphibia; Anura; Rhacophoridae. The record is from RNAcentral.